AAACGUCAUUCCUUUUAAAUUGAUUUAGCUCGUCUUGCAUUGCCAUGAGUCAAUGCCCAUUAAGUAAUUCAUCUUUAGCAUUUUUAGGAUCAAUCUGUGACACUAAAGCAAAGUGAUAACAAAAGUUACUUAUUUUAGAUAGUUUUGUCAUGCCUUUUGUUAUAUUUCCAAUAAUAUUAUCAAUAGGGUGGUCUUUGGUUAUUCUCCAAGACAAAUGAAGGUUGUCUACUACAACUGG
Molecule: long non-coding RNA, 238 nt
Filed under: Lathyrus oleraceus (garden pea)
Lineage: Eukaryota; Viridiplantae; Streptophyta; Magnoliopsida; Fabales; Fabaceae
Description: Pisum sativum (pea) long non-coding RNA (PSAT_LNC036590)
Source: RNAcentral